GUCUGACCGGGUGGGCGCGUGCGCAGUGCGCCCCGGCUCCUGUGCGUCCCGCGUGUUGUCGCCUUCUCUCCGGUCGUGGCGUGGGGUUUCGGAGUCGUCCCCAUCCCAGCUUCAGGGGAAGAAGACACACCGCUGAACAGUGAGGACGAUGACUGGGGACCAGAGGACCCGCAACCCAAAACUUUGCCAUCACCUUCGCUCUUCUGACAUUUUAAUCCAGGAAUUGCCGGUUAUAGAACCGUCCUCUGGGACAGGCGGUUCGAGGUCAGAAAGCUGAUGCCAGUCUUGUGGGAUCCCCAUGGACUUCCUGAUUCUGGGCAGAGAUUGAAGCCAAAAGAAGUGAAGAUGUAUGAUAAAGAGACCCUAGUGUCUCCACACAAGAGUGUGCCUGAAGUCAUUUUGCAAAACAACCAACCAAAAGGCCUUUGACGUCGGAGAGGAUGUAUGUGGGGCAGAAGAACUAACUACGAGAAUCCUGUGCUCACAACAUCUGCAGCUACAACUCGGAGACAUCAUACAGGCAUUUACUGGGUGUGAGCAAUCAGCAUGUUACAGGUCUGACUAGUUUGCAGCUCCAGUGGGCUGCCUGAGGGUUCGGAAGACAGGUUUCACAAAGAAAAAUCACUGUCACCUCAGCUUCAGACAACCACUAAAUUCUGCCUACGAAUCUUGUAGGAGGCGCUUCAUAUCCAUGGAGCAAAUGUGAGCAUAAAGAAAUGGUGUUGGGACAAACAGCCAUCUGUAAGUAAAGUUGGAAGUAUACCUCAUACUGUACCAAAACGAAUUUCUGAUAGAGAAAACAUAAAUGUUAAAAACUUUGAUCAGAAAAUAUAUAUAGCCCAGGGGUGAUGGUGCAUGCCCAUAAUCCCAAGCACUCUGGGAAACUGAGGCAUGAGAUCCCAAGUUUGAGCCCAGCCUGCACAAUUUGGUGAUUGUCACUCAUUCUACCACUAAGCUACACCCACCAUCCUCUGUGUGUGUGUGUGUGUGCGUGCCGCAGCGUGCCGCACGCGAGCGAGCGUGUGUGUGUGUGUGUGUGUGUGUGUGUGUGUGGUCUUGUUGUUGUUUUUAUUUUCUAGUACUGGUGUUGCAUCCAGGUUGAGCAGCCCACCAGGAUCAGAAACUCAGCAGCAAUAACAAAUUAAAGGGAUGGAGUUUAAGAAGGGAAGCCGAUUUAUUUGUAAGGAGGAAAAAAUAGAAGACACAAAGCUGCCAGGAUAGAGAGCAGGGGCUGCAGAUGAUAUGUGUGUGUCGUCGUGUGUGUCGGGGGGGUCCGCCCCUGCCCCAGCCCUGGUCCCAGGCUCCUUUUGUUAGGUCUGGGGACCCUUCCUUUCGGGUGGGUGGUAACCUGAUCAGUCUCUGGGCGGUCUUUGGGUGGACUCCAGGUCCCCAGAUCCUAACCUGGGUACUUUUGCCUGUGUGCACAAUCCUUUCGGUGGGCUUUCUUUCACUUCUUGCCCUGUUGUGAUCUGCAAGUUGUUGGGAAGGGAUCCUUUUAAGGUUAGUGACUAAGUAAAGGCGUGUGUGUAUAUCUAGUGCAGUAAUAUUGUGCCUCUACAGUGUUUUUAAAUACUAAAUAAAUUUUCUUGUAAAUUAGGUAGCCAUCCCUUGUCUCCCUGACAUUUUAUUGGGGGGAGUGGUGUCCUGGUUUUCAUGCUUCCGGCUUCCUUCCUGCCC
RNAcentral lists this long non-coding RNA (1677 nucleotides) under Heterocephalus glaber (naked mole-rat). RNAcentral describes it as "lncRNA (ENSHGLG00100035697.1)". Lineage: Eukaryota; Metazoa; Chordata; Mammalia; Rodentia; Bathyergidae. The record is from RNAcentral.